UGAGGAAUAUUGGACAAUGGGCGCAAGCCUGAUCCAGCAAUGCCGCGUGCAGGAUGAAGGCCUUCGGGUUGUAAACUGCUUUUGUACGGAGCGAAAAGGUCUGCCCUAAUACGGUGGGCUCAUGACGGUACCGUAAGAAUAAGCACCGGCUAACUACGUGCCAGCAGCCGCGGCAAUACGUAGGGUGCGAGCGUUAAUCGGAAUUACUGGGCGUAAAGCGUGCGCAGGCGGUUAUAUAAGACAGAUGUGAAAUCCCCGGGCUCAACCUGGGACCUGCAUUUGUGACUGUAUAGCUAGAGUACGGUAGAGGGGGAUGGAAUUCCGCGUGUAGCAGUGAAAUGCGUAGAUAUGCGGAGGAACACCGAUGGCGAAGGCAAUCCCCUGGACCUGUACUGACGCUCAUGCACGAAAGCGUGGGGAGCAAACA
Molecule: ribosomal RNA, 427 nt
Filed under: uncultured bacterium
Lineage: Bacteria
Description: bacterial SSU rRNA
Rfam family: Bacterial small subunit ribosomal RNA
Source: RNAcentral